RNAcentral lists this ribosomal RNA (1398 nucleotides) under uncultured bacterium. Its description in RNAcentral is "bacterial SSU rRNA". It matches the Rfam family "Bacterial small subunit ribosomal RNA". The record is from RNAcentral.
AGAGUUUGAUCCUGGCUCAGAUUGAACGCUGGCGGCAGGCCUAACACAUGCAAGUCGAGCGGUAGCACAGAGAGCUUGCUCUCGGGUGACGAGCGGCGGACGGGUGAGUAAUGUCUGGGAAACUGCCUGAUGGAGGGGGAUAACUACUGGAAACGGUAGCUAAUACCGCAUAAUGUCGCAAGACCAAAGUGGGGGACCUUCGGGCCUCAUGCCAUCAGAUGUGCCCAGAUGGGAUUAGCUAGUAGGUGGGGUAACGGCUCACCUAGGCGACGAUCCCUAGCUGGUCUGAGAGGAUGACCAGCCACACUGGAACUGAGACACGGUCCAGACUCCUACGGGAGGCAGCAGUGGGGAAUAUUGCACAAUGGGCGCAAGCCUGAUGCAGCCAUGCCGCGUGUGUGAAGAAGGCCUUCGGGUUGUAAAGCACUUUCAGCGGGGAGGAAGGCGGUGAGGUUAAUAACCUCAUCGAUUGACGUUACCCGCAGAAGAAGCACCGGCUAACUCCGUGCCAGCAGCCGCGGUAAUACGGAGGGUGCAAGCGUUAAUCGGAAUUACUGGGCGUAAAGCGCACGCAGGCGGUCUGUCAAGUCGGAUGUGAAAUCCCCGGGCUCAACCUGGGAACUGCAUUCGAAACUGGCAGGCUAGAGUCUUGUAGAGGGGGGUAGAAUUCCAGGUGUAGCGGUGAAAUGCGUAGAGAUCUGGAGGAAUACCGGUGGCGAAGGCGGCCCCCUGGACAAAGACUGACGCUCAGGUGCGAAAGCGUGGGGAGCAAACAGGAUUAGAUACCCUGGUAGUCCACGCCGUAAACGAUGUCGAUUUGGAGGUUGUGCCCUUGAGGCGUGGCUUCCGGAGCUAACGCGUUAAAUCGACCGCCUGGGGAGUACGGCCGCAAGGUUAAAACUCAAAUGAAUUGACGGGGGCCCGCACAAGCGGUGGAGCAUGUGGUUUAAUUCGAUGCAACGCGAAGAACCUUACCUGGUCUUGACAUCCACAGAACUUAGCAGAGAUGCUUUGGUGCCUUCGGGAACUGUGAGACAGGUGCUGCAUGGCUGUUGUCAGCUCGUGUUGUGAAAUGUUGGGUUAAGUCCCGCAACGAGCGCAACCCUUAUCCUUUGUUGCCAGCGGUUAGGCCGGGAACUCAAAGGAGACUGCCAGUGAUAAACUGGAGGAAGGUGGGGAUGACGUCAAGUCAUCAUGGCCCUUACGACCAGGGCUACACACGUGCUACAAUGGCAUAUACAAAGAGAAGCGACCUCGCGAGAGCAAGCGGACCUCAUAAAGUAUGUCGUAGUCCGGAUUGGAGUCUGCAACUCGACUCCAUGAAGUCGGAAUCGCUAGUAAUCGUAGAUCAGAAUGCUACGGUGAAUACGUUCCCGGGCCUUGCACACACCGCCCGUC